GUGUCAGCCGCCGCGGUAAUACGUAGGUGGCAAGCGUUGUCCGGAAUUAUUGGGCGUAAAGGGCGUGUAGGCGGCUCGGUAAGUGGGGAGUGAAACUCCGCAGCUCAACUGCGGCGCUGCUUCCCAUACUGCUGGGCUUGAGGGCGGGAGAGGGCAGUGGAAUUCCCGGUGUAGCAGUGAAAUGCGUAGAGAUCGGGAGGAACCCCAGUGGCGAAGGCGACUGCCUGGACCGAACCUGACGCUGAGGCGCGAAAGCUAGGGGAGCAAACAGGAUUAGAUACCCUGGUAGUCCUAGCCGUAAACGAUGGGUACUAGGUGUCGGGGGUAUCGACCCCUCCGGUGCCGGAGCAAACGCAAUAAGUACCCCGCCUGGGGAGUACGGCCGCAAGGUUGAA
RNAcentral lists this ribosomal RNA (395 nucleotides) under uncultured bacterium. RNAcentral's name for it is "bacterial SSU rRNA". It matches the Rfam family "Bacterial small subunit ribosomal RNA", at positions 505 to 898 of the family's 1533-position model. The record is from RNAcentral.